RNAcentral lists this unclassified non-coding RNA (2089 nucleotides) under Hevea brasiliensis (rubber tree). The record is from RNAcentral. Lineage: Eukaryota; Viridiplantae; Streptophyta; Magnoliopsida; Malpighiales; Euphorbiaceae.
GUUACCUAUCUCACUUGAAGGAUCAGCUAUGUGCUGUUAAUCAUAUUUGUUUAUUUUUCAAUUGACUAUAGAUUGUUCACAUUAAAUUUUAUAAGAAAUUUGCACUUUUUUAUGUGUCUCCUCAGUCAGCUUCAUCAUGGGGUUGCUCAAAUUGAAAAAUUGAAGGUCAUUCGUUAGAAAAAAAUAGUUUCCUUCACAUGGAAAGGAAUUCAAUGAGGUUUUGAUUUGCUAGAUGGAUUAUGUCCUUUAUCAGUCGGCUUUUUGUGUCUUUUUAUUUAUUUUAUCUUUCUUUUUAAUUUGAUUUCCCAAAGUUUUUUCUUGGAUUGUUUAGCUUUCCCAAAAUUAAAUCCUUCAUCAAUAGCAUAACAGUCUCCUCACUAAUAUAGAAUAACCCUGAAAAACUUUUGCAUGGGAAUUCUAUAUAGUUACUUUUUAGCCUUUAUCAAUCGCAACAUUUAUAAUAAUUCAGAUUAUGUGUUUCUUAAUUUUCUUGAUUGAAUCUGAUUAAGAAACUCUUCAUAAUUGGCAAUUGAAUCACAGGCAUAUUUUGUGGCAGAGAAUAUGAAUGUUGAUGUCGAUCAUUAUAAGGUUUUAGGGCUACCUUCUGGUGAGGAGGGGGCUAAGCUUACAGAAGAGGAAGUAUCACAAGCAUAAAAGCUGAAGGCUUUAGAGUUGUGCCUAGAUAAGAGACCAGAUGACCCAAAUGCCCAUGCCAAUUUCCAAAAGCUCAAGUCAUCAUAUGAGAUUCUCAAGGAUGAGAAAGCCCGCAAAUUAUUUGAUGAUCUCCUCCGACUUAAGCGGGAGAGGUAUUUUCGCUCAUCUCAAAAGGAUGCCAAGAGACAAAAGAUGGUUUCUGAUACUGAAAAAAGAAAGCGGGCAGCCUUUGCACCAGACCUGCUGCCAGGGCUCAGGAGGAAGAGGAUAUGAUUGCUAGGAAGCUUGAAGAAGAGAUAGCAAGAAUACGCGCAAUGCUUGCAAAUAAAGGAGCACUUGCAGCUUCAGCUUUAAAGAGAGAGUAGGAGUGACAAAGGACAGUGGGAUUAUUAUUAAUGCAGGUAGGGAGAAGAUGCUUAAGGUUUCUUGGGAAAAAGUGGCAUGGACUGUACUUCAGAAAGAUUGAAAGAGUUGUUUUCAAGGUUUGGUUAGGUUGAGGAUGUGGUAAUCAGCAGUUCCAAGAAAAAGCACUCUGCACUUGUUCAAAUGGUUGCUGCUAUGGGAACUGUCUCUGGCAAUCUAUCUAAUCCACUUCUAGUUGUACCUUUUAAACUGGCUACUGGAACAAAGCUUUCAAGUGUGCAGCAAUCCACGGAAUCUGGUUGCCAAAAUAAUUUGGGUGGCACUGGUUACAAGGCAUAUGUUUUAGAGAAAUUCCAAAAGGCUGCGGCAGCAAAAAACCAAAAAUGAUAUGCGGCAGCAUUUUGAUGCUCAAUGAUGCAUUAGUGCCUGUAUCUUCCCAUGGCCAAAUGUAAAGGUAACUAAGGAAUGACGUGCUCCAUAAUGAUCCCACGUUCCCAGUUUUUGCAUGAGCAUGUUCUUGUACUUUCAAGUUUUGAUUUCUGACGUACCCUGCAAGUAUUUGACCAUUUGAGCAAUCCUUCAACUAAGGCAUAGUGUCUCCAAUUUCAAGUGUGUCAUGUGACAAGGAACAGUUUUUCCAGGUGAUUGAAGCAUGAUUGCUGGGGGCUUUUCAGACGGUUUAUUGGGACAGAUAAUUCAAUUGUCUUCCAGGUGACUGCUCCAAGGAAGUUGCCGACUCUUUUCAAGAUCUGAUUCUCCAUUUUUGUUGGUACAAAUUGAUCUCAUUAACUUUGGGGAGUUAGUGGUGCUGAGACUAGGCUUUGGGGUGUAGACUGUACAUUAUAAGCAUCUGUUUUGGGGAAGGGUAACCCUCUGUUUGCUACUAUUUGAUAUUUCAUAUGAAUAUGCUUACUGAUACACGCUUAUUGGAGGGAAAGUGUAAUUUUUUUCUUUUUCAUCUUCUCCAAUAGCAUUGGCAUAUGCCUCUUUUUGGUUUUUAGCUUUUGGAUAUAAUUGAUGCUCGUUGAUAACCGAUUGAAGCUCAUCUAUUUUAAGCCAUGAUGAAAUUUUG